RNAcentral lists this long non-coding RNA (611 nucleotides) under Salmo salar (Atlantic salmon). Its description in RNAcentral is "lncRNA (ENSSSAG00000117334.1)". The record is from RNAcentral. Lineage: Eukaryota; Metazoa; Chordata; Actinopteri; Salmoniformes; Salmonidae.
AUAUACAGGGGGUACCGGUACAGAGUCAAUGUGGAGGCUAUAUACAGGGGGUACCGGUACAGAGUCAAUGUGGAGGCUAUAUACAGGGGGUACCGGUACAGAGUCAAUGUGGAGGCUAUAUACAGGGGUUACCGGUACAGAGUCAAUGUGGAGGCUAUAUACAGGGGGGUACCGGUACAGAGUCAAUGUGGAGGCUAUAUACAGGGUAUUACGGUACAGAGUCAAUGUGGAGGCUAUAUACAGGGUAUUACGGUACAGAGUCAAUGUGGAGGCUAUAUACAGGGUAUUACGGUACAGAGUCAAUGUGGAGGCUAUAUACAGGGGGUACCGGUACAGAGUCAAUGUGGAGGCUAUAUACAGGGGGUACCGGUACAGAGUCAAUGUGGAGGCUAUAUACAGGGGGUACCGGUACAGAGUCAAUGUGGAGGCUAUAUACAGGGGGUACCGGUACAGAGUCAAUGUGGAGGCUAUAUACAGGGUAUUACGGUACAAAGUCAAUGUGGAGGCUAUAUACAGGGGGUACCGGUACAGAGACAAUGUGGAGGCUAUAUACAGGGGGUACCGGUACAGAGUCAAUGUGGAGGCUAUAUACAGGGGGUAGCGGUACAGAG